AUGGAGUCGGCUCCCAGGCGACGACGGGUAGCCGGCCUGAGAGGGUGUCCGGCCACACUGGGACUGAGACACGGCCCAGACUCCUACGGGAGGCAGCAGUGGGGAAUAUUGCACAAUGGGCGCAAGCCUGAUGCAGCGACGCCGCGUGCGGGAUGACGGCCUUCGGGUUGUAAACCGCUUUUGACAGGGACGAAGCGCAAGUGACUGUACCUGUAGAAUAAGGACCGGCCAACUACGUGCCAGCAGCCGCGGCCGA
Molecule: ribosomal RNA, 256 nt
Filed under: uncultured Nocardia sp.
Lineage: Bacteria; Bacillati; Actinomycetota; Actinomycetes; Mycobacteriales; Nocardiaceae
Description: partial 16S ribosomal RNA
Rfam family: Bacterial small subunit ribosomal RNA
Source: RNAcentral